This 172-nucleotide ribosomal RNA is filed under the name uncultured bacterium. Its description in RNAcentral is "partial 16S ribosomal RNA". It matches the Rfam family "Bacterial small subunit ribosomal RNA", at positions 335 to 524 of the family's 1533-position model. The record is from RNAcentral.
ACUCCUACGGGAGGCAGCAGUGGGGAAUAUUGCACAAUGGGGGAAACCCUGAUGCAGCGACGCCGCGUGGAGGAAGAAGGUCUUCGGAUUGUAAACUCCUGUUGUUGAGGAAGAUAAUGACGGUACUCAACAAGGAAGUGACGGCUAACUACGUGCCAGCAGCCGCGGUAAU